GAUGAACGCUGGCGGCGUGUUUAACACAUGCAAGUCGAGCGAAGCACUUGAACGGAUUUCUUCGGAUUGAAGUUUUUGUGACUGAGCGGCGGACGGGUGAGUAACGCGUGGGUAACCUGCCUCAUACAGGGGGAUAACAGUUAGAAAUGGCUGCUAAUACCGCAUAAGCGCACAGGACCGCAUGGUACUGGUGUGAAAAACUCCGGUGGUAUGAGAUGGACCCGCGUCUGAUUAGCUAGUUGGAGGGGUAACGGCCCACCAAGGCAACGAUCAGUAGCCGGCCUGAGAGGGUGAACGGCCAC
RNAcentral lists this ribosomal RNA (302 nucleotides) under uncultured bacterium. Its description in RNAcentral is "bacterial SSU rRNA". It matches the Rfam family "Bacterial small subunit ribosomal RNA", at positions 28 to 311 of the family's 1533-position model. The record is from RNAcentral.